CCUGGUAGUCCACGCCCUAAACGAUGUCUACUAGUUGUCGGGUCUUAAUUGACUUGGUAACGCAGCUAACGCGUGAAGUAGACCGCCUGGGGAGUACGGUCGCAAGAUUAAAACUCAAAGGAAUUGACGGGGACCCGCACAAGCGGUGGAUGAUGUGGAUUAAUUCGAUGCAACGCGAAAAACCUUACCUACCCUUGACAUGGCUGGAAUCCUCGAGAGAUUGGGGAGUGCUCGAAAGAGAACCAGUACACAGGUGCUGCAUGGCUGUCGUCAGCUCGUGUCGUGAGAUGUUGGGUUAAGUCCCGCAACGAGCGCAACCCUUGUCAUUAGUUGCUACGAAAGGGCACUCUAAUGAGACUGCCGGUGACAAACCGGAGGAAGGUGGGGAUGACGUCAAGUCCUCAUGGCCCUUAUGGGUAGGGCUUCACACGUCAUACAAUGGUACAUACAGAGCGCCGCCAACCCGCGAGGGGGAGCUAAUCGCAGAAAGUGUAUCGUAGUCCGGAUUGUAGUCUGCAACUCGACUGCAUGAAGUUGGAAUCGCUAGUAAUCGCGGAUCAGCAUGUCGCGGUGAAUACGUUCCCGGGCCUUGUACACACC
RNAcentral lists this ribosomal RNA (600 nucleotides) under uncultured Janthinobacterium sp. RNAcentral describes it as "bacterial SSU rRNA". It matches the Rfam family "Bacterial small subunit ribosomal RNA", at positions 786 to 1391 of the family's 1533-position model. The record is from RNAcentral. Lineage: Bacteria; Pseudomonadati; Pseudomonadota; Betaproteobacteria; Burkholderiales; Oxalobacteraceae.